RNAcentral lists this unclassified non-coding RNA (208 nucleotides) under uncultured Leptosphaeria. RNAcentral describes it as "sequence contains ITS1". Lineage: Eukaryota; Fungi; Ascomycota; Dothideomycetes; Pleosporales; Leptosphaeriaceae. The record is from RNAcentral.
AACUUUUAUAUCACGGGGGGCCGGACCUCCACAAAGACUAGGGCCCAGGCAGCGCUGCUGCUCCCAAUCUUUGUGCCCGCCCCUGUCUGGCAUAUACCCAUGUCCUUUGCGUACAACUUGUUUUCCUUGGGGGGCUUGCCCCCCAUUAGGACCAAUAUACCAACCCUUUUGUAAUUGCAGUCUGCGUCAGAAAAUCAUAUAAUAAUUA